This 389-nucleotide ribosomal RNA is filed under the name uncultured bacterium. Its description in RNAcentral is "bacterial SSU rRNA". It matches the Rfam family "Bacterial small subunit ribosomal RNA", at positions 28 to 417 of the family's 1533-position model. The record is from RNAcentral.
GACGAACGCUGGCGGCGUGCUUAACACAUGCAAGUCGAGCGGUAAGGCCCUUUCGGGGGUACGACGAGCGGCGAACGGGUGAGUAACACGUGGGUGACCUGCCCUCAGCUCUGGGAUAAGCCUGGGAAACCGGGUCUAAUACUGGAUACGACUCCAUGACGCAUGUUGUGGGGUGGAAAGCCUUGUGCGGCUGAGGAUGGGCCCGCGGCCUAUCAGCUUGUUGGUGGGGUGAUGGCCUACCAAGGCGACGACGGGUAGCCGGCCUGAGAGGGCGACCGGCCACACUGGGACUGAGACACGGCCCAGACUCCUACGGGAGGCAGCAGUGGGGAAUCUUGCGCAAUGGGCGAAAGCCUGACGCAGCGACGCCGCGUGAGGGAUAACGGCCU